RNAcentral lists this unclassified non-coding RNA (88 nucleotides) under Apopellia endiviifolia. RNAcentral's name for it is "pre-pen-miR8185". Lineage: Eukaryota; Viridiplantae; Streptophyta; Jungermanniopsida; Pelliales; Pelliaceae. The record is from RNAcentral.
CAGCGCAGUUUGUCCAUCCACCGGUAAAGAUGAUGGGUUCUGUUGCCCAAUCUCUUCAUCUUGCCGUAAAGAUGAUGGGUUUUGUUGC